UACGUAGGGGGCAAGCGUUGUCCGGAAUCAUUGGGCGUAAAGAGCGUGUAGGCGGCUCGGUAAGUCCGCUGUGAAAGUCGGGGGCUCAACCCUCGGAUGCCGGUGGAUACUGUCGGGCUAGAGUGCGGAAGAGGCGAGUGGAAUUCCUGGUGUAGCGGUGAAAUGCGCAGAUAUCAGGAGGAACACCAAUUGCGAAGGCAGCUCGCUGGGACGUGACUGACGCUGAGACGCGAAAGCGUGGGGAGCAAACAGG
RNAcentral lists this ribosomal RNA (253 nucleotides) under uncultured bacterium. RNAcentral's name for it is "partial 16S ribosomal RNA". It matches the Rfam family "Bacterial small subunit ribosomal RNA", at positions 524 to 776 of the family's 1533-position model. The record is from RNAcentral.